Gorilla gorilla gorilla (western lowland gorilla) is the source of this 285-nucleotide long non-coding RNA. RefSeq lists it as uncharacterized. NCBI's taxonomy places the organism in Eukaryota, Metazoa, Chordata, Mammalia, Primates, Hominidae. The transcript is spliced from 2 exons. The record is from RefSeq and is a predicted model, not a curated record.
GACUUUCUUUAUUCUCAGAAUUGUUUUAAAAAAGAACCAGAUGAAUUAAGCUUUAUUAUGCUCUUAUUUCAUUCAGCUAAACUUCACCUCAGAUACUGCUGAUAUUUACUGAUACAACUGGCUCUGGGUCGAACUUGAAGCUGCAGCAGAAGAAGAUAUGGAAAAACUAAAAUCUUCCUCAAGCAAAUAUUAGAGUAAUUGUCAUUAUCUCACCAUGCUCUUUUACUGGUUAUAAAUAUGCUAGAAAACAUUCUUACUGCAAUUUUAAUAAAGUAUUUCUCUAUG